AUUGAACGCUGGCGGCAUGCCUUACACAUGCAAGUCGAACGGCAGCGGACCUUCGGGUGCCGGCGAGUGGCGAACGGGUGAGUAAUAUAUCGGAACGUACCUUUCAGUGGGGGAUAACGUAGCGAAAGUUACGCUAAUACCGCAUAUUCUGUGAGCAGGAAAGCAGGGGAUCGCAAGACCUUGCGCUGAUUGAGCGGCCGAUAUCAGAUUAGCUAGUUGGUAAGGUAAUGGCUUACCAAGGCGACGAUCAGUAGUUGGUCUGAGAGGACGACCAGCCACACUGGGACUGAGACACGGCCCAGACUCCUACGGGAGGCAGCAGUGGGGAAUUUUGGACAAUGGGCGCAAGCCUGAUCCAGCAAUGCCGCGUGAGUGAAGAAGGCCUCGGUUGUAAGUACUACUUCUAGUUGUAAAG
RNAcentral lists this ribosomal RNA (415 nucleotides) under uncultured bacterium. Its description in RNAcentral is "bacterial SSU rRNA". It matches the Rfam family "Bacterial small subunit ribosomal RNA", at positions 30 to 447 of the family's 1533-position model. The record is from RNAcentral.